Molecule: long non-coding RNA, 373 nt
Organism: Carassius carassius (crucian carp)
Lineage: Eukaryota; Metazoa; Chordata; Actinopteri; Cypriniformes; Cyprinidae
Exons: 3
Source: RefSeq, a predicted model, not a curated record
GUUCCGAAGAUGUACUGCAGUUCCCCUGGAAGCAACGUUUAUGUCACAGCUGAACAAGCACACCCCAAAGCUCCUAGAGCUCUUUAGUGCCAAGUGAGGAGCAACUGGUCAACGCAUCAAAAACUUGAUGAUGGAACUGAUACAGGACCCAAGUGCCACUGCAGUGAAGAAGAGAGAUGUCACUCUGAGAUGCCUCUUUGAGUAUAUGGGAGAGAGUGGACAAGAGCUCAUCUCUGAUUACUUUGGGACUGCAGAGACCACUGUUCAUGAGGACCUGAAAAUGAAGAAUAUGAGCAUCUAUGUCUGCCGUGAGCCAGAUGCAGUAGGAAUCAUUAUUGAGGGAAUACCAGUCCUUACCAAUCUUGGAAAUCUG